GACGAACGCUGGCGGCGUGCCUAAUACAUGCAAGUAGAACGCUGAAGGAGGAGCUUGCUCUUCUGGAUGAGUUGCGAACGGGUGAGUAACGCGUAGGUAACCUGCCUGGUAGCGGGGGAUAACUAUUGGAAACGAUAGCUAAUACCGCAUAAGAGUAGAUGUUGCAUGACAUUUGCUUAAAAGGUGCAAUUGCAUCACUACCAGAUGGACCUGCGUUGUAUUAGCUAGUUGGUGGGGUAACGGCUCACCAAGGCGACGAUACAUAGCCGACCUGAGAGGGUGAUCGGCCACACUGGGACUGAGACACGGCCCAGACUCCUACGGGAGGCAGCAGUAGGGAAUCGUCGGCAAUGGACGGAAGUCUGACCGAGCAACGCCGCGGGAGUGAAGAAGGUUUUCGGAUCGUAAAGCUCUGUUGUAAGGGAAGAACGAGUGUGAGAGUGGAAAGUUCACACUGUGACGGUAUCUGACCAGAAAGGGACGGCUAACUACGUG
Molecule: ribosomal RNA, 495 nt
Filed under: uncultured bacterium
Lineage: Bacteria
Description: partial 16S ribosomal RNA
Rfam family: Bacterial small subunit ribosomal RNA
Source: RNAcentral